CCCUGUAUCGAAAGUGAUCAUGGCCUUGUUGUUGCCAGGUCAUUGAUAGUACAGGGAGAGGGUAAUGAGGGCCUUUCCCGUGUCUGAAGGACCAUCAGUGCCUCCCAGACCCUGGCGCUCUCAGACA
This is a small nucleolar RNA of Cynoglossus semilaevis (tongue sole), 127 nucleotides long. Its record names the gene SNORA71. It matches the Rfam family "Small nucleolar RNA SNORA71". Rfam says of the family: The members of this family belong to the H/ACA class of snoRNAs which bind a number of proteins (including dyskerin, Gar1p and Nop10p) to form snoRNP complexes. This class of snoRNAs are thought to guide the sites of modification of uridines to pseudouridines by forming direct base pairing interactions with substrate RNAs. The record is from Ensembl. Lineage: Eukaryota; Metazoa; Chordata; Actinopteri; Pleuronectiformes; Cynoglossidae.